RNAcentral lists this ribosomal RNA (1177 nucleotides) under Klebsiella variicola. RNAcentral describes it as "partial 23S ribosomal RNA". It matches the Rfam family "Bacterial large subunit ribosomal RNA", at positions 1 to 1212 of the family's 2925-position model. The record is from RNAcentral. Lineage: Bacteria; Pseudomonadati; Pseudomonadota; Gammaproteobacteria; Enterobacterales; Enterobacteriaceae.
GGGUUGUGAGGUUAAGCGACUAAGCGUACACGGUGGAUGCCCUGGCAGUCAGAGGCGAUGAAGGACGUGCUAAUCUGCGAAAAGCGUCGGUAAGGUGAUAUGAACCGUUACAGCCGGCGAUGUCCGAAUGGGGAAACCCAGUGCAAUUCGUUGCACUAUCGUUAACUGAAUACAUAGGUUAACGAGGCGAACCGGGGGAACUGAAACAUCUAAGUACCCCGAGGAAAAGAAAUCAACCGAGAUUCCCCCAGUAGCGGCGAGCGAACGGGGAGCAGCCCAGAGUCUGAAUCAGCUUGUGUGUUAGUGGAACGGUCUGGAAAGUCCGACGGUACAGGGUGAUAGUCCCGUACACCAAAAUGCACAGGCUGUGAACUCGAAGAGUAGGGCGGGACACGUGGUAUCCUGUCUGAAUAUGGGGGGACCAUCCUCCAAGGCUAAAUACUCCUGACUGACCGAUAGUGAACCAGUACCGUGAGGGAAAGGCGAAAAGAACCCCGGCGAGGGGAGUGAAAAAGAACCUGAAACCGUGUACGUACAAGCAGUGGGAGCACCUUCGGGUGUGACUGCGUACCUUUUGUAUAAUGGGUCAGCGACUUAUAUUCUGUAGCAAGGUUAACCGUAUAGGGGAGCCGCAGGGAAACCGAGUCUUAACUGGGCGUUAAGUUGCAGGGUAUAGACCCGAAACCCGGUGAUCUAGCCAUGGGCAGGUUGAAGGUUGGGUAACACUAACUGGAGGACCGAACCGACUAAUGUUGAAAAAUUAGCGGAUGACUUGUGGCUGGGGGUGAAAGGCCAAUCAAACCGGGAGAUAGCUGGUUCUCCCCGAAAGCUAUUUAGGUAGCGCCUCGUGAAUUCAUCUUCGGGGGUAGAGCACUGUUUCGGCUAGGGGGUCAUCCCGACUUACCAACCCGAUGCAAACUACGAAUACCGAAGAAUGUUAUCACGGGAGACACACGGCGGGUGCUAACGUCCGUCGUGAAGAGGGAAACAACCCAGACCGCCAGCUAAGGUCCCAAAGUCAUGGUUAAGUGGGAAACGAUGUGGGAAGGCACAGACAGCCAGGAUGUUGGCUUAGAAGCAGCCAUCAUUUAAAGAAAGCGUAAUAGCUCACUGGUCGAGUCGGCCUGCGCGGAAGAUGUAACGGGGCUAAACCAUGCACCGAAGCUGCGGCAGCGAC